CAGCCGCCGCGGUAAUACGUAGGUGGCAAGCGUUGUCCGGAAUUAUUGGGCGUAAAGCGCGCGCAGGCGGUUUCUUAAGUCUGAUGUGAAAGCCCCCGGCUUAACCGGGGAGGGUCGUUGGAAACUGGGAAACUUGAGUGCAGAAGAGGAGAGUGGAAUUCCACGUAUAGCGGUGAAAUGCGUAGAGAUGUGGAGGAACACCAGUGGCGAAGGCGACUCUCUGGUCUGUAACUGACGCUGAGGAGCGAAAGCGUGGGGAGCGAACAGGAUUAGAUACCCGUGUAGUCCCUGUCUCUUAUAC
This 301-nucleotide ribosomal RNA is filed under the name uncultured bacterium. RNAcentral's name for it is "partial 16S ribosomal RNA". It matches the Rfam family "Bacterial small subunit ribosomal RNA", at positions 509 to 807 of the family's 1533-position model. The record is from RNAcentral.